UUCCAAGGGCAAAAAAUAAGAAAAAAAAAAAAAAACAAAAGAAAUAUUUCCCCCAAUUCUCUCGUACACUACCUGAUACUUCUCCAUUUCAAUACACUAAGAGCUACUUCCCCCAAUUCUCCAUUUUCUCCAUUUCCCCCAAUUCUCCAUUUUCAAAAACUUCAAAUUCUCAAUUUUCCCCAAAUCUCCAUUUUUUAUUUCUGAAAUUACUCAAGAGGUGGCGAAGUAAUUGAAAUUACUCAAGAGGAAAACUAAUUGAAAUUGAGAGGUGGCGAAGUAGACGAAGGCGGAACUCAAGAGGUGGCGAACUUCAGGUGACGUCUGGUUGCUCAAGAGGCGGCGAAAAUCUCCAUUUUCAUCUUGCAUGUGGCUGAUAUCUCGAAAUUGAGUUCAAGCCCCUUCAAGAUGAAACCGAGUGGACCCAAAGUUCCUACUUCCCAAAGUCAGCUUACUGAAUAUGAGUUGCAAAAAAUGUUCCUACUUCCCAAAGUUCCUUUCUUCUAGUUCAUUUGAUUUUCUACUUUUUUUUUCUUACAAAAAAAUGUUGAGUUGACUCUCGGUGUUGAUCCCUAAAACUUCCUUCUAUUGGUGUCCUGUUUUCUCCUCCAAUGUAGGUCUGACCCUAUUCUUGAUGAGUGCAUGGCGAGCAAAAUGGAGAUGAAGUAGAGUGACUAAACUACUAGUCAUCUGACACAAAUGGUGCAAAUAUGUUGGCGACUUCUAUUCUAUUAAGUUCAAGUUUGUGAAGAUUUAGAAAAUCCGGCUACAUAUAUAUUGGAAUUUGUAUUUUGGACAAUUGAAUCAAUUAUAUAACUUUAGUUUGUUAGUAGGGUGUAAUACUAUACCGAAAACAAGCAAGUAAUAUUUUUGUAAUGUCGUACGUAUUU
This is a long non-coding RNA of Chenopodium quinoa (quinoa), 887 nucleotides long. RefSeq lists it as uncharacterized. The record is from RefSeq and is a predicted model, not a curated record. The transcript is spliced from 3 exons. NCBI's taxonomy places the organism in Eukaryota, Viridiplantae, Streptophyta, Magnoliopsida, Caryophyllales, Amaranthaceae.